AGGUACUUAGUGACUCUCAA
This 20-nucleotide microRNA is filed under the name Drosophila erecta. RNAcentral's name for it is "miR-306-RA". RNAcentral also lists the same sequence under 5 other names. The record is from RNAcentral. Lineage: Eukaryota; Metazoa; Arthropoda; Insecta; Diptera; Drosophilidae.